RNAcentral lists this ribosomal RNA (116 nucleotides) under Streptococcus pyogenes. Lineage: Bacteria; Bacillati; Bacillota; Bacilli; Lactobacillales; Streptococcaceae. The record is from RNAcentral.
UUAAGUGACGAUAGCCUAGGAGAUACACCUGUACCCAUGUCGAACACAGCAGUUAAGCCCUAGAACGCCUGAUGUAGUUGGGGGUUGCCCCCUGUGAGAUAAGGUAGUCGCUUAGC